AAAACAAUAAUUAAUACCAAAGACAGUAGGUGAGAUAUUCUCGUAAAUCCUACCGAGGUAGAGAAUAUAAUAAACUAAAAAAGUUUUAAUUUAUAUCCUACCUCGUAAGAUAUUGGUUAAAACUUUUAUUUUUU
RNAcentral lists this small RNA (134 nucleotides) under human gut metagenome. Its description in RNAcentral is "Ribosomal protein L10 leader". The stretch from base 2 to 98 matches the Rfam family "Ribosomal protein L10 leader". From Rfam's summary of the family: This family is a putative r-protein leader autoregulatory structure found in B. subtilis and other low-GC Gram-positive bacteria. It is located in the 5' untranslated regions of mRNAs encoding ribosomal proteins L10 and L12 (rplJ-rplL). The record is from RNAcentral.